CAGUCCUCAUUCAGUAGAAGUCAAAAAAGUCAAAGGCUGCACCCUGCAGUUGUUACAUACACAGAAGAAGAAGGGUGAAGAGAAAGAAACCAAAUCUUUGCUGAGUGCCUUUGACAUCCUGACCAUGGCAACCAUGCGAAUGCUUCUCUUUCUGGCUAUCUUCUAUUCUGCAGGGAUUUGCAUGAUCUCCUCUGUCACAGACCCCAAUGAUGCUGCUGUGCUCCUAUCCUUGAAGAAUUCGUGGCAAAAUACGCCACCCAGUUGGGACAAGUCAAAUGAUCCCUGUGAUUCCCGGUGGGAGGGAGUCACCUGUAACAAUUCAAGGGUGUCUGGACUGGGAUUAUCAAACAUGAGCCUCAAGGGGAAACUUUAUGGUGACAUUGGUGGACUCACUGAAUUAAGAUCCUUGGACCUUUCCUUCAACCCUGGCCUCACAGGUCCUCUCUCUCCAAGAUUAGGGAAUCUGAAAAAUUUAAGUAUCCUGAUCCUAGCUGGUUGCAGCUUCAAUGGUGAAAUUCCAGAUGAAUUAGGCAAUCUUGCAGAGCUAUCCUUCUUGGCUCUGAAUUCAAAUAACUUUUCUGGUGCCAUACCUCCUUCUUUGGGCAAACUCUCCAAACUCUACUGGCUGGACCUGGCAGACAAUCAAUUGACUGGAACAAUUCCAAUUUCGACCUACCAUUCCCCUGGCUUAGACCUCCUGUUGAAGGCUAAACACUUCCAUUUGAACAAGAACCAGCUUUCAGGUGUCAUACCGGCCAAACUUUUCAGCUCUAAGAUGGCACUGAUACAUUUGUUGCUUGACGGAAAUAGAUUUACUGGUACUAUCCCAGUAACAUUAGGACUUAUUAAGAAUCUUGAGGUUCUUCGGCUUGAUACAAAUGCUCUGGCUGGAAGUGUCCCCUCAGAUCUUAACAACCUUACGAAUGUCAACGAAUUAAAUUUGGCCCACAACUACUUGUCAGGCCCUCUACCUGACUUAAGUGGAAUGAAUUCCCUCAAUUAUGUAGACCUUAGCAACAACUCAUUUGACCCAUCAGAAGCUCCACUCUGGUUCUCAACCUUACCCUCACUCACCACUUUGGCCAUCGAAUUUGGAUCACUUCAAGGGGUUGUGCCAGAGAAGCUUUUCAGCCUUCCAAAUUUACAACUGGUGAAGCUCAAAUACAAUGCGUUUAACGAUACAUUGAACAUGGGCGAUAGCAUCAACCCACAACUGCAGCUUGUUGAUCUGCAGAACAAUCAGAUUUCCAGAAUAAUUCUGGGUUAUGAAUACAAAAAUACAUUAAUACUUUUCGGGAACCCGGUUUGCAGCAGCAGUUCUGGUGCAUCAAAUGCUACUUUCUGUCAGCCUCCCCAUCAAACUACAAAAUUUGCUUGCUCCUUCACCACCAUGGCAACCAUGCGGUUGCUGCUCUUUCUGGCUUUCUGCUAUGCUGGGAUUCAUAUGAUCUCUUCUGAAACAGACCCCGGUGAUGUUGCUGUUUUCAUAUCCUUGAAGAGGGCAUGGACGAAUCUUCCACCCAGCUGGAACGACAAAUCAAAUGAUCCCUGUGGAAUGAACUGGGAAGGAGUGACCUGCAACAAUUCGAGGGUGACCGCAUUGGGAUUAUCAGCAAUGGCCUUGAAAGGAAAAAUUGAAGGCGAUAUCGGGGGACUCUCUGAAUUAAGAUCCUUGGACCUUUCAUUCAACCAAGGCCUCACGGGUUCUCUGUCUCCACGAUUAGGAGAUCUGAGCAAGUUAAAUAUCCUGAUCCUAGCUGGCUGCGGCUUCAGUGGCAAUAUUCCAGAUGCUCUGGGCAAUCUUGGAGAGCUAACUUUCUUGGCUCUGAAUACGAAUAACUUUACUGGUAAAAUACCUCCUUCUUUGGGUAAACUCUCCAAACUUUUCUGGUUGGACCUGGCAGACAAUCAGUUGACUGGAACUCUACCAAUUUCAACCCCCGAUAACUCGGGCUUAGACGAACUAUUCAAGGCUAAACACUUCCAUUUCAACAAGAACCAGCUUUCAGGUACCAUUCCACCCAGACUUUUCAGCCCUAAGAUGAUACUGAUACACAUUUUGUUUGAUGGAAAUCAAUUUACUGGGGAGAUUCCAUCAACCAUAGCACUCGUUCAGACUCUUGAGGUUCUUCGGCUUGAUAGAAAUGCUCUGACAGGAAAUGUCCCCUCAAAUAUCAGCAGCCUAACAAAUGUCAAUGAACUAAAUUUGGCCCACAACAAUUUGUCAGGCCCUCUACCGGACUUAACUGGAAUGAGUUCCCUCAAUUAUGUAGACCUGAGUAACAACUCAUUUGACCCAUCAGAAGCUCCACCUUGGUUCUCAAACUUACCCUCAAUCACCACUAUCGUUUUAGAAUUUGGAGCACUUGAAGGGACUGUGCCAGAGAAGAUGUUCAGCAUCACAUCAUUGCAGCAAGUGAAACUGAAAAACAAUACGUUUAACGAUACAUUGAAAUUGGGUGAUAGCAUCAGUCCACAGCUGCAGCUUGUUGAUCUGCAGAACAAUCAGAUUCCUAAAAUAACUCUGGGUUAUGAAUACAAACAUACAUUAAUACUUGUAGGGAACCCAGUUUGCACCAGUGGAACUAGCUCAAAUUCAUUCUGUCAGCUUCCACCGCAACAAGAUACAGAAACGUAUACUACUAGCUCGAAUUGUGCACACAUUACAUGCCCCGAUAAUCAGAAGCUCAGCCCUCAGAGUUGUCAAUGUGCAUAUCCUUUUGAAGGAACAUUGUAUUUCAGAGCACCCUCUUUCAGGGAAUUGUCAAAUGUGACUAUGUUUCACUCACUAGAAACGGGUCUAUGGGAAACACUUGGCCUCACUCCUGGUUCAGUUUCUCUUAAAAAUCCUUUCUUCAACACUAAUGACUAUCUUCAAAUUCAGCUGGCACUCUUUCUACCUAUAGGAACAUAUUUUAGUUCCCUGCAUUAGAAGAUUGAUUAAACUGACAAUAAAAACUCAAAAUUGUUUCAGGUGGGAAUAAAAGUUCUAUGAGCACUGGUGUUAUUAUUGGGAUAUCAGUUAGUUGUGUAGUUCUUGUACUGGGCCUCGUGGUAGUGGGAAUAUAUGCCAUUAGGCAAAAGAAACGUGCAGAAAGAGCCAUUGGAUUAAGCCGACCUUUUGCUUCUUGGGCACCAAGCGGAAAAGAUAGUGGUGGUGCACCACAGUUAAAGGGAGCAAGAUGUUUUUCUUUUGAUGAGCUUAAGAAAUGCACAAAUAAUUUCUCUGACAGUAAUGAGAUAGGAUCUGGUGGAUACGGGAAGGUUUACCGGGGCAUGCUUUCUGAUGGACAAGUGGUGGCAAUCAAAAGAGCUCAGCAAGGAUCAAUGCAGGGUGGCCUUGAGUUCAAGACUGAAAUCGAGUUGCUCUCGCGAGUUCAUCACAAAAAUGUUGUUGGCCUUUUGGGAUUUUGUUUUGAACAAGGAGAACAGAUGCUGGUUUAUGAGUUUAUGCCUAAUGGAACACUCAGGGAAAGCUUGUCAGGGAGAUCUGGUAUUCAUCUUGAUUGGAAGAGGAGACUCCGCAUCACUCUUGGCUCGGCAAGAGGACUAGCUUACCUACAUGAGCUUGCAAAUCCUCCUAUAAUUCACAGAGAUGUGAAGUCCGCCAACAUUCUAUUAGAUGAACAUUUAACCGCGAAGGUUGCAGAUUUCGGCUUGUCCAAGCUGGUAGCUGACAGUGGAAAAGGGCAUGUCUCAAGUCAGGUCAAAGGUGGGAUAUCUUGA
Molecule: non-coding RNA, 3726 nt
Organism: Prunus mume (Japanese apricot)
Lineage: Eukaryota; Viridiplantae; Streptophyta; Magnoliopsida; Rosales; Rosaceae
Source: RefSeq, a predicted model, not a curated record